GCAAUAUGAUUUAGAAGAAGUGAGAAUGGAAGUGGGAACUCUUAAGAGGCAGAAGUUCAAGUAUAUGGUAAUGAAGACAUACUAAGGUGGUGGCAUUGGGAGUGAUGAAAAGAGUAAUGGGCAAAGAUUUCAGAGAGGCAAAUAUCAACUCGAUAUGGAGAGACUGAGGCCCAAAGGCAAAAAGUGAUUUACUCAAGGUGUCACAUGAGGACAAGAAUUCAGUAAUAGAAUCUGCUUUUGUAGCCAGCCACUGGAAGUGAAGCUCAAGAUAUUGGAAACCCAUCGCAGGAAGCAAAGAGAUUGGCUCUUCCUUUUACCCAGAGCAGUUUCCAAACAGUCCUCUUGGCCAACCAUCUGGGGGGAAAGAAACCUAUUUGGCUGUCUCUGUGACCCAGGAGGUGCUGGAUUCUCCUUGCCUUAGGCUGUCUGGCUAGGUGCCACUUGGAUAGUAAAAAAGGAGAUCUCACUUUGUCUCCACUAUCCUCCAGCUCGCAUUUGGGGGUCUAUAUUCUGCCAAGAAACAGGAUCCUCCUCUCCAAGCCGCCUCUCCUGUGCCACUUCUCUCCAGGGCCCAGUCCCUUCCAACAGACAAAUCCUCAGUCUUCCUUUCCCGGCCAUAUGUGAGAGCUAUGACAGGGACAGUGUUCCACCACAUUGAACUAGGGAGGGCAAAGGCAGCUGCCGAUCAAUCCCCUAUGACUUUGGGGAAAUGCCUUCAUGAUUUCUCCAAGCUCAGGCUUCAUGGAGUUGGAGGGCAUCCACAUUGCUAUGUCUCAUCCCCUUGCCUAUCCCUACACACAUGCUAGCACACAUAGAUACACCAGUCACCAGCUCUGCUGGCAACACCACGGGACUGGAAGUCUUCAGAAAUGACAUUUCUCCCACUCCCAACCCCGCCAGUGGAUUAUCUCCCAAUGGGGAACGACUGGCUCAUUAUGUAUCCUUGCUUCCUUCCUCACGCCCUUCCCUUCCCCAUAUGAACACCAUGACCCAGAUGCCCGAGCAUCAUAAGCCUUCUCUCCCAGCCGAGCUGCCCACCCACCAUUCCUCUCUCUGAGAGUUAGGAAACAAGCCCAGGUCACUGAGAAGAAAUGCGGGUGACUCAGUUUCCGCUUGUUUAUCCCCAGAAUGGCAGGAAGGAGGGAAGACUGUUAGUUCCACAGUCAUUUCUCCCUCUAUUUUUACUAAGAAAAACCAUUAGAGUGAUUGACAUUCAAACAGAUAUUUCACAUCAUACACAGCCCUCUUACAAUUAUCCCAUAGGAAAACAAAGACACUUGGAGUUGUAGAUUAGGAAACUGAGGCCCACAGAGAUGAUGUGAUUUGUGUGAGGUCACAGUGUGAGGGAAGGGUGGAUCUGUAGCUCCAGGUCUCCCUCUCCACAUUCACCCCUGAAAUUACUUUGUAUAUAUUGUGUAUUGACUUGCGUGUAUAUGUCUUAUUUCUCCUUGUAGAAUGUAAGCUCCUUGAAGGCAGGGACUGUUUUAUUUUUGUUUUUAUGUCCACAGUGCCUUGAACGUAGAAGGCCUUUAAUAAAUGAUUAUUGA
Long non-coding RNA from Sarcophilus harrisii (Tasmanian devil), 1547 nucleotides. Lineage: Eukaryota; Metazoa; Chordata; Mammalia; Dasyuromorphia; Dasyuridae. The record is from Ensembl.